GACGAACGCUGGCGGCGUGCCUAAUACAUGCAAGUAGAACGCUGAAGGAGGAGCUUGCUUCUCUGGAUGAGUUGCGAACGGGUGAGUAACGCGUAGGUAACCUGCCUGGUAGCGGGGGAUAACUAUUGGAAACGAUAGCUAAUACCGCAUAAGAGUAGAUGUUGCAUGACAUUUGCUUAAAAGGUGCAAUUGCAUCACUACCAGAUGGACCUGCGUUGUAUUAGCUAGUUGGUGGGGUAACGGCUCACCAAGGCGACGAUACAUAGCCGACCUGAGAGGGUGAUCGGCCACACUGGGACUGAGACACGGCCCAGACUCCUACGGGAGGCAGCAGUAGGGAAUCUUCGGCAAUGGACGGAAGUCUGACCGAGCAACGCCGCGUGAGUGAAGAAGGUUUUCGGAUCGUAAAGCUCUGUUGUAAGAGAAGAACGAGUGUGAGAGUGGAAAGUUCACACUGUGACGGUAUCUUACCAGAAAGGGACGGCUAACUACGUGCCAGCAGCCGCGGUAAUACGUAGGUGGCAAGCGUUAUCCGGAUUUAUUGGGCGUAAAGAGAGUGCAGGCGGUUUUCUAAGUCUGAUGUGAAAGCCUUCCGCUUAACCGGAGAAGUGCCUCGGAACUGGAUAACUUGAGUGCAGAAAGAGGGUAGUGGAACUCCAUGUGUAGCGGUGGAAUGCGUAGAAUAUAUGAAAGAACACCAGUGGCGAGAGGGGGCUACCUGGUCUGAACUUGACUCUGAGACUCGAAAACAUGGGUGUCGAACAGG
This 766-nucleotide ribosomal RNA is filed under the name uncultured Streptococcus sp. Its description in RNAcentral is "bacterial SSU rRNA". It matches the Rfam family "Bacterial small subunit ribosomal RNA", at positions 28 to 776 of the family's 1533-position model. Lineage: Bacteria; Bacillati; Bacillota; Bacilli; Lactobacillales; Streptococcaceae. The record is from RNAcentral.